Molecule: ribosomal RNA, 467 nt
Filed under: uncultured bacterium
Lineage: Bacteria
Description: partial 16S ribosomal RNA
Rfam family: Bacterial small subunit ribosomal RNA
Source: RNAcentral
GACGGACGCUGGCGGCGUGCUUAACACAUGCAUGUCGAACGAUGACGCCCGAGCUUGCUCGGUCUGAUUAGUGGCGAACGGGUGAGUAACACGUGAGCAACCUGCCCUUCACUCUGGGAUAACCUCGGGAAAUCGGGGCUAAUACCGGAUAUGAGCUCCUGUCGCAUGGCGGGUGUUGGAAAGUUUUUCGGUGAAGGAUGGGCUCGCGGCCUAUCAGUUUGUUGGUGAGGUAGUGGCUCACCAAGGCGAUGACGGGUAGCCGGCCUGAGAGGGCGACCGGCCACACUGGGACUGAGACACGGCCCAGACUCCUACGGGAGGCAGCAGUGGGGAAUAUUGCACAAUGGGCGAAAGCCUGAUGCAGCGACGCCGCGUGAGGGAUGACGGCCUUCGGGUUGUAAACCUCUUUCAGCAGGGAAGAAGCGAAAGUGACGGUACCUGCAGAAGAAGCGCCGGCUAACUACGUG